AUUGAACGCUGGCGGCAGGCCUAACACAUGUAAGUCGAACGGCAGCGGGGGGUAGCUUGCUAUCCUGCCGGCGAGUGGCGGACGGGUGAGUAGUGCAUGGGGAGCUGCCCAGUCGAGGGGGAUAACAACUGGAAACGGUUGCUAAUACCGCAUACGCCCUAAGGGGGAAAGGAGGGGAACUUCGGUCCUACCGCGAUUGGAUGCGCGCAUGUGGGAUGAGCUAGUUGGUGAGGUAACGGCUCACCAAGGCGACGAUCUCUAGCUGGUCUGAGAGGAUGACCAGCCACACUGGAACUGAGACACGGUCCAGACUCCUACGGGAGGCAGCAGUGGGGAAUAUUGCACAAUGGGGGAAACCCUGAUGCAGCCAUGCCGCGUGUGUGAAGAAGGCCUUCGGGUUGUAAAGCACUUUCAGUCAGGAGGAAGGGGUGAUAGCUAAUAUCCAUCAUCAUUGACGUUACUGACAGAAGAAGCACCGGCUAACUCCGUGCCAGCAGCCGCAGUAG
RNAcentral lists this ribosomal RNA (506 nucleotides) under uncultured bacterium. RNAcentral's name for it is "partial 16S ribosomal RNA". It matches the Rfam family "Bacterial small subunit ribosomal RNA", at positions 29 to 523 of the family's 1533-position model. The record is from RNAcentral.